This is a small nuclear RNA of Dipodomys ordii (Ord's kangaroo rat), 104 nucleotides long. Lineage: Eukaryota; Metazoa; Chordata; Mammalia; Rodentia; Heteromyidae. The record is from Ensembl.
GUGCUCGCUUUGGCAGCACAUAUACUAAAAUUGCAACGAUACAGAUAUUAACAUGGUCCCUGCACAAGGAUGAUAUGCAAAUAUGUGUAGCGUUCCAUAUUUUU